This 22-nucleotide non-coding RNA is filed under the name Arabidopsis thaliana (thale cress). Lineage: Eukaryota; Viridiplantae; Streptophyta; Magnoliopsida; Brassicales; Brassicaceae. The record is from RNAcentral.
UAAUGGGUGAUUCCGACGUCUC